Molecule: long non-coding RNA, 447 nt
Organism: Equus quagga
Lineage: Eukaryota; Metazoa; Chordata; Mammalia; Perissodactyla; Equidae
Exons: 3
Source: RefSeq, a predicted model, not a curated record
UGCUGUGGCCGCCGGGUGCUUGUUUCUCUUGGCUUCGGGUGGCAGAAGUGGAGGCUCCAGCGCGGUCCGAAGGGCUAAACCCAAAGGGCGGGAGGCGCGGUCCGCGCCGGAAAUCCCGGCUCAGUUCCGAGCGCGGCCUCCUUCUUCGCCCAGCCCUCCUGCACGUUCAGUCCCGCGCUGGGACGCAUUCUUCUCCCAAGUCCAGACCCCACUUCCUUGCACAAGUGACCUUCUCCAGGAGAGAGGGAAGAUGGGAAAGUUGGCAGACAGCUACAAAUCUCCUUAAAAAGGAGUCUCUUCAGAAUUUAGCAAGAGCGGUGACCCAUUUUGUUGCUGACUGGGUCCAUACAGGAUUAUUUACGUAUGCUUGAAACUUCAGAAGUCUACCUGAUGUGUCUAGGUGUGGGUCUCAGUUUUAUCAUUUAUUAAUUGAUUACACAAAGAUUU